This 465-nucleotide ribosomal RNA is filed under the name uncultured bacterium. RNAcentral's name for it is "partial 16S ribosomal RNA". It matches the Rfam family "Bacterial small subunit ribosomal RNA", at positions 28 to 507 of the family's 1533-position model. The record is from RNAcentral.
GACGAACGCUGGCGGCGUGCUUAACACAUGCAAGUCGAACGGAAAGGCCCUGCUUGCAGGGUACUCGAGUGGCGAACGGGUGAGUAACACGUGGGUGAUCUGCCCUGCACUUCGGGAUAAGCCUGGGAAACUGGGUCUAAUACCGGAUAGGAGCCAUUUUUAGUGUGAUGGUUGGAAAGUUUUUUCGGUGUAGGAUGAGCUCGCGGCCUAUCAGCUUGUUGGUGGGGUAAUGGCCUACCAAGGCGGCGACGGGUAGCCGGCCUGAGAGGGUGGACGGCCACAUUGGGACUGGGGUACGGCCCAGACUCCUACGGGAGGCAGCAGUGGGGAAUAUUGCACAAUGGGCGCAAGCCUGAUGCAGCGACGCCGCGGGGGGGAUGACGGCCUUCGGGUUGUAAACUCCUUUCGCUAGGGACGAAGCUUUUUGUGACGGUACCUAGAUAAGAAGCACCGGCUAACUACGUG